Molecule: ribosomal RNA, 225 nt
Filed under: uncultured bacterium
Lineage: Bacteria
Description: partial 16S ribosomal RNA
Rfam family: Bacterial small subunit ribosomal RNA
Source: RNAcentral
UCUACCCUUGAAUCGGGGAUAACAUUGCGAAAGCGAUGCUAAUACCGGAUGAUAUCACAAAAGCUUCGGCUUUAAUGAUCAAAGAUGACCUCUACCUGUAAGUUGUUGUUUGAGGAGGAGUCCGCGUACCAUUAGCUUGUUGGUAGGGUAACGGCCUACCAAGGCCACGAUGGUUAGCUGGUCUGAGAGGAUGAUCAGCCACACUGGAACUGACACACGGUCCAG